AGAGUUUGAUCUGGCUCAGGACGAACGCUGGCGGCGUGCUUAACACAUGCAAGUCGAGCGGAAAGGCCCUUCGGGGUACUCGAGCGGCGAACGGGUGAGUAACACGUGGGCAACCUGCCCCUAGCUCUGGGAUAACUCCGGGAAACCGGUGCUAAUACCGGAUAUGACUUCUCCUGGCAUCUGGAGGGGUGGAAAGUUUUUCGGCUAGGGAUGGGCCCGCGGCCUAUCAGCUUGUUGGUGGGGUAAUGGCCCACCAAGGCGACGACGGGUAGCCGGCCUGAGAGGGCGACCGGCCACACUGGGACUGAGACACGGCCCAGACUCCUACGGGAGGCAGCAGUGGGGAAUAUUGCGCAAUGGGCGAAAGCCUGACGCAGCGACGCCGCGUGAGGGAUGAAGGCCUUCGGGUUGUAAACCUCUUUCAGCAGGGACGAAGCGCAAGUGACGGUACCUGCAGAAGAAGCACCGGCCAACUACGUGCCAGCAGCCGCGGUAAUACGUAGGGUGCAAGCGUUGUCCGGAAUUAUUGGGCGUAAAGAGCUCGUAGGCGGUCUGUCGCGUCGGCUGUGAAAUCUCGGGGCUCAACCCCGAGCCUGCAGUCGAUACGGGCAGACUAGAGUGCUGUAGGGGAGACUGGAAUUCCUGGUGUAGCGGUGAAAUGCGCAGAUAUCAGGAGGAACACCGGUGGCGAAGGCGGGUCUCUGGGCAGUAACUGACGCUGAGGAGCGAAAGCGUGGGGAGCAAACAGGAUUAGAUACCCNNGUAGUCC
RNAcentral lists this ribosomal RNA (769 nucleotides) under uncultured bacterium. RNAcentral's name for it is "bacterial SSU rRNA". It matches the Rfam family "Bacterial small subunit ribosomal RNA", at positions 8 to 796 of the family's 1533-position model. The record is from RNAcentral.